AGGGGUUUAGCUCAGCAGCAUAAGCGCCUGCCUUGUAAGCAGGCAGUCCUGAGUUCGAUCCCCGGUACCGAUA
Cavia porcellus (domestic guinea pig) is the source of this 73-nucleotide transfer RNA. It matches the Rfam family "tRNA". From Rfam's summary of the family: Transfer RNA (tRNA) molecules are approximately 80 nucleotides in length. Their secondary structure includes four short double-helical elements and three loops (D, anti-codon, and T loops). NCBI's taxonomy places the organism in Eukaryota, Metazoa, Chordata, Mammalia, Rodentia, Caviidae. The record is from Rfam.